CGAUCCGAGGAGCGUUGCAGCGCACCCCUGACCCAUGGUCAGCGCGGGGCGUGAGGCUCGGAAAUCCAUGCAACGACGCUCAUCCACU
Molecule: non-coding RNA, 88 nt
Organism: Burkholderiales bacterium GWF1_66_17
Lineage: Bacteria; Pseudomonadati; Pseudomonadota; Betaproteobacteria; Burkholderiales
Source: Rfam